RNAcentral lists this ribosomal RNA (213 nucleotides) under uncultured bacterium. Its description in RNAcentral is "partial 16S ribosomal RNA". It matches the Rfam family "Bacterial small subunit ribosomal RNA", at positions 1287 to 1500 of the family's 1533-position model. The record is from RNAcentral.
CUCAGUUCAGAUUGCAGGCUGNAACCCGCCUGCACGAAGUCGGAAUUGCUAGUAAUCGCGGAUCAGCAUGCCGCGGUGAAUACGUUCCCGGGCCUUGUACACACCGCCCGUCACACCAUGGGAGCCGGUAAUACCCGAAGUCAGUAGUCCAACCUCGUGAGGACGCUGCCGAAGGUAGGAUUGGCGACUGGGGUGAAGUCGUAACAAGGUACC